Long non-coding RNA from Pecten maximus, 778 nucleotides. RefSeq lists it as uncharacterized. The transcript is spliced from 2 exons. Lineage: Eukaryota; Metazoa; Mollusca; Bivalvia; Pectinida; Pectinidae. The record is from RefSeq and is a predicted model, not a curated record.
AAUAUUACAGUAGGCAUACGCGUUGACAGAAUAUCAACACGUCAAAAAGAACGUUGAUAUCUCUGAAAACCGAUUUAAACAGAGACCGUAUCAAAAUAAUCAAUUUGUGCAAUGAAUCAACAAGUAAUAGAUACAUAAUGGGUACGAGUGAUGUAUCGGAUAUAUCACACGAGUGCGUAGCACGAGUGUGAUAUAUGCGAUACGUCACGAGUACCCAUUUUGUAUCUGUUUUAUCCAAUGACAGCCGAGGUUUUGUCACCCACGUGCCUAGGGGUGGAGCUAUACAAUUGAUAAAAACCUGUCACUGUGAUAUGUUUCCCGCCAAUUUCUGACACGUUUCAUUCUGUCACAGUAGCCUAUUCAUUUCUAGUGAGACUGUCAACCAUGGCGGAUCAGGUACUGAUCAUUGAUGUCGAUGUGUUUGCCGACCUCGACCAAGUAUGAGUAGGAACUGGAAGAUAGUGACACGGUAGCUACUGACAUUGGAUUAUUUGAUACCAAGGAAUUAACGCAACCAAUUGUUGUAAAUAAACUGAAUGGUAAUGUGAAAAACAUGUGAAAGACUGCAGGAUUCGAGGGAAAUUACACAAACGGUAACUGCUCCGGAAAGAGGACCUGCGCUACUUCCCUUUACCAAGCAGGUUUUAAUGAACAACUCAAUAUGGACAGGACGGAACAUCACAGCAGGGCUGUACGUGCAUACAAUGUGAAGAAAGAAGACAAACAAAGAACAUUUCUAAACGGCACUCGUAUUUCAUUAAAUUUUGUUUAAAAUGUA